Molecule: microRNA precursor, 64 nt
Filed under: Bactrocera dorsalis (oriental fruit fly)
Lineage: Eukaryota; Metazoa; Arthropoda; Insecta; Diptera; Tephritidae
Description: microRNA bdo-mir-13b precursor
Gene: bdo-mir-13b
Source: miRBase by way of RNAcentral
UCGUUAAAAUGUUUGUGUUUAUGUCGCCAUUUGCAUACUCAUAUCACAGCCAUUUUGACGAGUU